AAACAGACUGAUUCAGGCUAGUGGUUUGACGGGGCCAAUUCCUUCCGGCAUUUCUCUUUUGACAAAAUUAACUGACUUGAGAAUUACUGACUUGAGUGGGCCUGAAGCAACCUUUCCUCCACUUGAGAAUAUGAAAAGCAUGAAGACACUGAUGUUGAGGAGUUGCAAUAUUGUUGGACAGCUACCUACAUAUCUCGGGGACCUGACGAAGUUGAAAACUUUAGACCUCAGCUUUAACAAGCUAACCGGAAAAAUUCCAAGCAACCUUGAUGCUCUAA
Non-coding RNA from Prunus avium (sweet cherry), 278 nucleotides. The record is from RefSeq and is a predicted model, not a curated record. Lineage: Eukaryota; Viridiplantae; Streptophyta; Magnoliopsida; Rosales; Rosaceae.